Molecule: non-coding RNA, 23 nt
Filed under: Cricetulus griseus (Chinese hamster)
Lineage: Eukaryota; Metazoa; Chordata; Mammalia; Rodentia; Cricetidae
Source: RNAcentral
AAGGAUACAUGCAGACAGAACAA